This 75-nucleotide transfer RNA is filed under the name Nitrosopumilus zosterae. RNAcentral's name for it is "tRNA-Gln". It matches the Rfam family "tRNA". From Rfam's summary of the family: Transfer RNA (tRNA) molecules are approximately 80 nucleotides in length. Their secondary structure includes four short double-helical elements and three loops (D, anti-codon, and T loops). Lineage: Archaea; Thermoproteati; Nitrososphaerota; Nitrososphaeria; Nitrosopumilales; Nitrosopumilaceae. The record is from RNAcentral.
AGCCCGGUAGUGUAGCGGUCAAGCAUAGAGGCCUUUGAAGCCUUUGACCCCAGUUCGAGUCUGGGCCGGGCUACC